This 596-nucleotide long non-coding RNA is filed under the name Citrus x clementina. RNAcentral's name for it is "Citrus clementina (C. clementina) long non-coding RNA (CCLE_LNC006222)". Lineage: Eukaryota; Viridiplantae; Streptophyta; Magnoliopsida; Sapindales; Rutaceae. The record is from RNAcentral.
CGGGGGGUUAUUUUUGGGCGCGGCUUUGCCCGCGGCCUAUUUAUUGCACACGGAGACCGCUCAUAAAGUCUCGUGGCAUUCCGAGUCCGGUGGACGAAGUUGGCCAGCCCCACCCCCCAAGGCUAUAGCCCACCCGUUUUUGGGGCCUUUUUCCGCUGGACGAACUUGGCAUCCCGGCCUUCAGGCGGUUAUUUUUAGGCGCUGCUGUGCCCGCGGCCUAUUUUUGGCACACGGAGGGGCCUCGCAAAGUCUCGCACCAUUCCGAGUCCGGCGGACGAAUUUGGCCAGCCCCACCCCCAAGGCUAUAGCCCACCCGUUUUUGUGCCUUUUUCCGCAGGACGAACUUGGCGCCCCGGCCUUUGGGCGGUUAUUUUUGGGCACGGCUGUGCCCGCAGCCUAUUUUUGGUACACGGAGGGGCCUCGCAACAUCUCGCACCAUUCCGAGUCCGGCGGACGUAGUUGGCCAGCACAACCCCCCAAGGCUAUAGCCCACCCGUUUUUGUGGCCUUUUUCCGCUGGACGAACUUUGGCGCCCCGGCAUUCGGGCGGUUAUUUUUGGGCGCGGCUGUGCCCGUGGCCUAUUUUUGGCACACGGA